ACCAAAACCAAGCUCAUCUCAUGGCAAAACCAACUUCAAUGGCAGGGAAACUGAGGUUCUACCCGGAUAAGCCCUCCUAUGAUCCUUCAAUGGCUGCAAAACAACUAAAACAAUAAUUCUACUAAUUUUAUCAACAUG
Molecule: long non-coding RNA, 138 nt
Organism: Hibiscus syriacus
Lineage: Eukaryota; Viridiplantae; Streptophyta; Magnoliopsida; Malvales; Malvaceae
Exons: 3
Source: RefSeq, a predicted model, not a curated record